CAUUGAAUCGUAACAGGAGGUGCAGGGGUUUGGAUGGUCGCCGGAGAAAUAGGCGGCGGCUAUAGCAACGGCAGGAGGAAGAAAGAGCCAACGGAGAGGGUGAGAUCAAGAGUGAUUUGGGUGAGAUACGUGCGAGAGUGAGAGAUGAGACAUAGCAGCAAGAGUUUUAUGCAGAGUAUUAGAAACAAUGAGGAAGGAAAAAGAAAAGAAAAGAAAGGCGGUGGAAAAGCAGGGGCACGUGGCUAAACCUUUUGUUGUCACAUGUCCUUAACAAUCUGGCUAAUCAAUUGAUUCGUACCCUCUUUAACUGUUUUACGGAGAUAACUUGCAAUAAAAUUUCUCCCGAAAUUUAUCGAAACAUUUUUUUAUAAAUCCAAUAAUAUUACAAAACUAAUAAAAUUAAAGUUUCGGGAUUUAUAGAGCAUUUUCGAAAUUUAUACAAAAUUUAGAAGUUAGUUGCGCUUUAAAAAUAAUUAAAAAUCAUGUUCUUAAAGAAAUAAGAUUUUUAAUAUUUUAAAAACUCCUAAAAUAUUUAUAAUCACUAUUAAGCAAUUAAAAUAAUUAUUCAAAUUAUCUUUGUAUUUUUACAAAAAUAAAUAUCCAUUUAAGAGGAUAAUAAAUCUUUGAUAAAAUAAUAUAAUAAUAUCAAAAGCAGAAAUAAAUGCACACAUAGACAUAAUCGUAUACAAAUAGAUCAAUUAAAUCUCUUAACAGAUAAUUGCACGAUCAACAGAUAUUUUCCCAUAACCCCGUUGACCAGGAAAAUAUUUAAACAAAUAUAUUUAUUUUUAUUUAUUAUUUUUUUUUUUUUUGAAAUUUACCAAACUGGAAUAAAAUAUUAAAUUUUAUUCCUCCUUUUUAUAAAAACCAUUAAUAAAAUAUUUUGAAAAAUCCGGGUUGUCACAAUCUACCCCCCUUAAAAGGAUUCCGUCCUCGGAAUCAGCGAAAAGAAAACUAGAGCGUACGAUCUCUUUAAUCCAUAAUACUUCUUUAUGAGGUGAUAUCCUCUUGAUUGCUGUCGUAUAUUCGCAUCAUCAUUCGCUUUUGCUCAUGGUACCUCCUACUAUAAAGGCUUAAUUUUACUUGGCAACUCAGUUGGCAUACCUUCAACUAUUAAAGAUUACAAGAAUAUGAAAGAUUAGAUCUAUUGGAACAAAUAUAACGUGAUUGGAAACAAAAGAAUAACCGAGAGAUCAAUAUGAUCUAAAGAACUUGGUGUUGCGUGUCUAAAUUAAGACACUACUAAAGGUAGUUAACCUUCUUGUAAUGUACAACACACACAAGUGAUGGCGUCCCAUCCAACUCCUAUCACACAGACUGGUAGUCCUUGUGUCCCCUAUAGGUAGGGUUGUUCAUCUCAGUUAGAGUAGAAUGAUAUAAUAGAUAUUCAAAAUCAAUUAAGAAUGAUUGACUUUUGAUGAAUGAAUCUUUGAUGCGCACCUUGGGUUAAAAAUUGAAUAAGUUCCAAAGGUGCUAGUUUCAAUGAAAAGAUUAGUUAGAAAUGAUAAAAUAGACACAAGUAUCAUUUUAUAACUCAUGAGAUUGAAAUAUAGUCUUUAUCAAACGUCUCUAGGAAAAGAUGUUAAGACAAUUCAUUGAUGAAGAAGGUAAUCAAUAUAAUCAACAAAGAGGAAGGUAUUGCCAAGAUUCUUCAAGAUAUGCUGCUCUGAUGGAUCAUUAUUCGAUUCUAAUCUUCUUCUAUUUUUCAGCGGUCGAUGAUGCUCAAUAACGUAAAUUAUCGUUGACUCACAAUGGUCUGUGAAGAUCUCAUUAUAAAUAUCCAUGAUCGUCAGAAGUCCUGCUCAGCUUCGCAUAGUCCGAAAUAUUAUCGAGUUUCGUAUAAUCAUCACCACUGAGUGUUGACGUCUUAACUUACUAACAAGUACUAUAUCCACUAAUCUACACGAGCUCUAAAUAACUUUAACGUUCAUUAUUUAACUAUAUACGAAACUUCUUACUUGACCCUACAAGUUUCAUAUUCUUGUAUUAGCUCUAAUGCUCACUACUUCACUAUAUACAAAGCUUUAAAUUCGGACCUGUUAAGACCUAUAUUCUUUCACCAAUUCUAUAUAUCUUUAACAAGAAUCAAAGAUAACUCCCCAAAUACUAUUCAAAGAUUGGCAGACACUAUAAAGAUUACUCUAGACUAUGUGAGAAUCUAUACUAGUCCAACCUCAAUUGGUUCCCAUUAUAAAGUUCACCUAAUAGGUGUAUCUUUCAUCCUUCAAAUGGUUUUGAAUCUAAAUCAACCAAAAGAAAUCUUAUCCACCUACUAUGAGUUUCUAACUCAAUUAAACUGGUGUUAAGAAAUUUUGAUCCAUAAUAAAAACACAUAAAGUCACUCUUCUAAUUUAUCUCUGUCUUGGUGACGAGGACUAUGAAAUAAUUAUUGACUUUCUAGUCUCAACAGGUGAAACUAUUUGUUUGCUGAUAUUGGUACUAACUACUCAAUAGACUAGAAACUAGUGGGGCAUGUUCUUCCUUCCCUGAUAUAUAAACUUACUAGUUCUGGGUCAAGAGAACUAAGAGAACUAUUAUACACACUAUGUUAUACUCAAAAUCAGUACUCUAUUGGAAUCUUGGUUCUAUUGACACAGACUCUUCCAAAGAGUUGUAGACUACCUCUAUGUGAGUUUACGCUUAGUGCACCUAUUUAUUAGACCUAAUAUUACCACCUAUAUUCUGAUUUCAAUAACUUAUAACCUGCAGCUCUGAUACCAACUGUGACAGCCCUCAAAUCCGGGGGUCUGGAUCUGGUGCCACGUGUAAAUAAAAAUAAUUUAAAACCUGUAUUUUUGAGUCACUGAAAGAAAAACAAUUUAAAAAAAUACAAGUAUUUCAAAACCUGAAUAUAUAAAAAAAAUGAUUUAAAUUAAAACUCAAAUUCACCCCCUGAAAACAGGAUCGCAUACAGGUUACAGCAUUGAAAUCAGAAACUAAAACUAUCAAAUUUAAUUACAAAUUAAACUGCAUUAUCAGCUAAACAUCGAUAAGAAGAGUAGCUGAUGACCAAAUAAACAAAUCUCAUUUCCAACUGAAUUGAAUUGCAGAACUCCAACUGCAUCUAGUCUUAAUCACAUCGUCCCGGAUACCCUACCUAACAAUUUUCCUGAACUCAACCACUUGCAAUCCUUGCCUAGUCUUAAGUGAAUCAUCUUUAUUCCUAGCUGAAAAGGGUUAGAAGGAAUAGCAAGAAUGAGCAAUAAUGCUCAGCAAGAAUAACAAAAUGAAAUUGAUAUUUGUUGUACAGCAAUGCCAUAAUAAAGAAGUGAAAAUAUUUAAAACUGCAGAAAUGAAUGUAUAAGCAAAUAUCUCUUGAAGGCAGGGUAACUUCUUUUUAAACUAUUCACAAUUUUAUUGGGCUUUAAAAAUAAUUGGACACCUGGCUAUAACAGAUGAUCAGUCAUGCUAUAGUCCAUAAACCAAGCUUAUUCAGCAAGGUUGACAAAUAUUACGAAUUCCGGUAAUCCGGGCUUAAGGAGCCACCUUUCACGCUGGGCCGGUGCCCGAGCCUCUUACGCAAAAACAACCCAAUAGUUUAAUUUUUAAAACAAUCUGCAGUUCCAUCAUGUAAUUCAAGAGCCAGAAUAACAUUUUGUUAAAACAAUUUCUUUAUGCAUAUCAUAGUGUAGAGUUGAUACCAAAAGUGUUAUCCGUUCAACCAAAAAGUUUAAAAGUACUAGAUAUGCUUCACAAGAAAGUAAUUGCAAAUAAUUUGAAUCAUGAUAUAAAGAAGGUUUUAGUAUCUAUAGGUACUAGAGGAGUAGGGUAGAAAUACUUGCUUCUAAAUUGCGAGAGAAGGUAGAAGUACUUGCCUUAACUCCAAAGUUUAGCUCAGAUUCCUAGUAACACUAUAUACCGCAUAAUCAUUCCUUUCUGCCAGCUUCUGACACACUUUUAUCUAUAACAAAUCUCCGUCCUACUUCAACUUGUAACAUUCUGCUUGGCUAUUUCUGAAUACCCCUUUCAAUCACUUCUCGAUUAAUGCCUCGGUCAAUGUCUUCAAUUCUAUACGAUGAUAAAAUAGUAUUUCAGUCGUCGGAUUAGACAUAUUGACUAACCCUGAAUUGCAUUAAGACCUAUAUAUAUAUCUACCCUUCGCAUAUACAUACCACAGUCACAUAAACACAUAGCACAUAGUUGUACAAACAACCCUUUUUAUAGGCAUUAAAUCCAUAUAAUUUCUAACGAAAAUUCGGCAGCAUCUCCUCUGUUUAUAAGCUUAUCCACCUGUUUGCAAUGCCAACAACCAACCAAUACUAUUGCUAACACAUGAAUUAUUAAUAUAAAAAGAUCCCUUGACUUGCAGUAAACACAUAAGAAAAUCUGUCUUGACUUGUAGUAAACAUAUAAUAAAAUCUUUUAGCAGGAUUGCUAACUUGUUAUACGCAAAACACUUUUAAUUAGAUAUACAAGGUUAACCGAGCCAAUCAAUGUAAUAAUCAAUUAUAUGCAAUUAGUCAAGUAUAACCUCAUACUAUGCACUAGCAAAGAAAGAAAAAUAGAACAAAUAGUUCAAACAGCCCUCGGUCUAUGAUUUUUAAUAAAUUGAAAAUUUAUCUUUUUAAUACGAAAUUUUUAUGAGACUCUCCUAAAUAUUAUUCCAACCUACAGUAAAAUUUUCAGAAAGAAAAUCCAAGUUUAAAGCUGUAAAACAGAGCCUGGAACAGGACAACCCUGCCCAGAAUUUUCAGCACCAUACUAUACUAAAACGGUCAUAUCUCCUAGCUCGCUAAUCGAAUCGAUUCGAUUCUUUCGCGCACAUAAACUAGACUCUGAGGAGCACAUAAACACACAAAUAUUAAGCAUAUAAUUCGAUUCUAUGAGCCCAGAAUUGUACUACAAAGCAGAUCAGCCGCAACCUAGAAUUCAAUCGAUUAUGUGUAAAUCUGAAUUUUUAGCCCAAUACUUAACUCUUACAUUUACACAAAAUAUUAAACUUGAAAGCCUAAAUACUCAGUUAUAUAUUCUCAUAAUUCAAGUACCCCAGUCAUCCAAUUAUACUACUAGUUGGCGUACUGAUUAUAAUCGACCUACAACAACCAAAUUCAAAUAUCAAUUAGGCACACAAUUCAAUCAUACAAUUACUAACACCAAUCUCAAUCUCAAAAAUUCAAUCAACCUUCAAUUACAAGCAUAUAAUCAGUUUAUACUCAUGCAAGCACACAUAAAUCAGAUUAUACACACAUAUCAAAUACAUGUACACGUAUAAACACGGUUCACCCGAAUAUAAUUUCGAUUAUCCGACAUGUAAAUACACGCAUAUAUACACAUACAUGUAUCACAUAACUGAUUUAAUAAGUAAAACCAUCGAGUUUAUACCCAUUGAAUCGUAACAGGAGGUGCAGGGGUUUGGAUGGUCGCCGGAGAAAUAGGCGGCGGCUAUAGCAACGGCAGGAGGAAGAAAGAGCCAACGGAGAGGGUGAGAUCAAGAGUGAUUUGGGUGAGAUACGUGCGAGAGUGAGAGAUGAGACAUAGCAGCAAGAGUUUUAUGCAGAGUAUUAGAAACAAUGAGGAAGGAA
Molecule: long non-coding RNA, 5522 nt
Filed under: Daucus carota (carrot)
Lineage: Eukaryota; Viridiplantae; Streptophyta; Magnoliopsida; Apiales; Apiaceae
Description: long non-coding RNA (DCAR_LNC004542)
Source: RNAcentral